RNAcentral lists this ribosomal RNA (253 nucleotides) under uncultured bacterium. RNAcentral describes it as "partial 16S ribosomal RNA". It matches the Rfam family "Bacterial small subunit ribosomal RNA", at positions 524 to 776 of the family's 1533-position model. The record is from RNAcentral.
UACGUAGGGGGCGAGCGUUGUCCGGAUUUACUGGGCGUAAAGAGCGCGCAGGCGGUCGUUCAAGUCGAGUGUGAAAGCCCCCGGCUCAACUGGGGAGGGUCACUCGAUACUGAUCGACUUGAAGGCAGGAGAGGGAAGCGGAAUUCCCGGUGUAGUGGUGAAAUGCGUAGAUAUCGGGAGGAACACCAGUGGCGAAGGCGGCUUCCUGGCCUGUUCUUGACGCUGAGGCGCGAAAGCUAGGGGAGCAAACGGG